This 433-nucleotide ribosomal RNA is filed under the name uncultured bacterium. RNAcentral describes it as "partial 16S ribosomal RNA". It matches the Rfam family "Bacterial small subunit ribosomal RNA", at positions 29 to 507 of the family's 1533-position model. The record is from RNAcentral.
AACGAACGCUGGCGGCAUGCCUAACACAUGCAAGUCGAACGAGACCUUCGGUUCUAGUGGCGCACGGGUGCGUAACGCGUGGGAACCUGCCUUUAGGUUCGGAAUAACUCAGAGAAAUUUGAGCUAAUACCGGAUGAUGUCUUCGGACCAAAGAUUUAUCGCCUUUAGAUGGGCCCGCGUUGUAUUAGCUAGUGGGUGGGGUAAAGGCCUACCAAGGCGACGAUCCAUAGCUGGUCUGAGAGGGUGAUCAGCCACACUGGGACUGAGACACGGCCCAGGCUCCUACGGGAGGCAGCAAUGGGGAAUAUUGGACAAUGGGCGAAAGCCUGAUCCAGCAAUGCCGCGUGAGUGAUGAAGGCCUGAGGGUUGUAAAGCUCUGUUACCCGGGAUGAUAAUGACAGUAUCGGGAGAAUAAGCUCCGGCUAACUACGUG